GCUUAACACAUGCAAGUCGAGGGGCAGCGGGGGUAGCGAUACCCGCCGGCGACCGGCGCACGGGUGAGUAACGCGUAUGCAACUUGCCUAUCAGAGGGGGAUAACCCGGCGAAAGUCGGACUAAUACCGCAUGAAGCAGGGAUCCCGCAUGGGAAUAUUUGCUAAAGAUUCAUCGCUGAUAGAUAGGCAUGCGUUCCAUUAGGCAGUUGGCGGGGUAACGGCCCACCAAACCGACGAUGGAUAGGGGUUCUGAGAGGAAGGUCCCCCACAUUGGUACUGAGACACGGACCAAACUCCUACGGGAGGCAGCAGUGAGGAAUAUUGGUCAAUGGGCGCGAGCCUGAACCAGCCAAGUCGCGUGAGGGAUGAAGGUCCUAUGGAUCGUAAACCUCUUUUAUAAGGGAAUAAAGUGCGGGACGUGUCCCGUUUUGUAUGUACCUUAUGAAUAAGGAUCGGCUAACUCCGUGCCAGCAGCCGCGGUAAUACGGAGGAUCCGAGCGUUAUCCGGAUUUAUUGGGUUUAAAGGGUGCGUAGGCGGCCUUUUAAGUCAGCGGUGAAAGUCUGUGGCUCAACCAUAGAAUUGCCGUUGAAACUGGGAGGCUUGAGUAUGUUUGAGGCAGGCGGAAUGCGUGGUGUAGCGGUGAAAUGCUUAGAUAUCACGCAGAACCCCGAUUGCGAAGGCAGCCUGCCAAGCCAUGACUGACGCUGAUGCACGAAAGCGUGGGGAUCAAACAGGAUUAGAUACCCUGGUAGUCCACGCAGUAAACGAUGAUCACUAGCUGUUUGCGAUACAUUGUAAGCGGCACAGCGAAAGCGUUAAGUGAUCCACCUGGGGAGUACGCCGGCAACGGUGAAACUCAAAGGAAUUGACGGGGGCCCGCACAAGCGGAGGAACAUGUGGUUUAAUUCGAUGAUACGCGAGGAACCUUACCCGGGUUUGAACGCAUUCGGACCGAGGUGGAAACACCUUUUCUAGCAAUAGCCGUUUGCGAGGUGCUGCAUGGUUGUCGUCAGCUCGUGCCGUGAGGUGUCGGCUUAAGUGCCAUAACGAGCGCAACCCUUGCCACUAGUUACUAACAGGUAAAGCUGAGGACUCUGGUGGGACUGCCAGCGUAAGCUGCGAGGAAGGCGGGGAUGACGUCAAAUCAGCACGGCCCUUACAUCCGGGGCGACACACGUGUUACAAUGGCGUGGACAAAGGGAAGCCACCUGGCGACAGGGAGCGAAUCCCCAAACCACGUCUCAGUUCGGAUCGGAGUCUGCAACCCGACUCUGUGAAGCUGGAUUCGCUAGUAAUCGCGCAUCAGCCAUGGCGCGGUGAAUACGUUCCCGGGCCUUGUACACACCGCCCGUCAAGCCAUGGGAGCCGGGGGUACCUGAAGUCCGUAACCGCGAGGAUCGGCCUAGGGUAAAACUGGUGACUGGGGCUAAGU
Molecule: ribosomal RNA, 1433 nt
Filed under: uncultured organism
Description: SSU rRNA
Rfam family: Bacterial small subunit ribosomal RNA
Source: RNAcentral